GAUCAUUGACAUAAUUGAUAAGGCUAAAAACAAAGAGAUAACUAACGUAGAGAGGCUCUAAGCCCUCUACAAUAGCUUGCAAGUAUAGACCUAACGUGCUAUACGCUGAACCAGCAAAAGCGGUGAAGCCCUCGCAGGGUGAUGAACGCAGAGGCUGGCAACCUCGCCCUUCGUAAGGGGCUUGCAAGCAC
Molecule: small RNA, 191 nt
Filed under: unclassified sequences
Description: DUF2693 RNA
Rfam family: DUF2693 RNA
Source: Rfam by way of RNAcentral